AGGGUGUAAACGCUGCAGACUUGGUGUUGGAAAUCCUUCGAGGGUAUUCAGUGCCGGAGAGAAGUUGUUAAGUCUGCUACUUGGGGAGUACGUCCGCAAGGAUGAAACUUAAAGGAAUUGGCGGGGGAGCACCGCAACGGGAGGAGCGUGCGGUUUAAUUGGAUUCAACACCGGAAAACUCACCAGGGGAGACUGUUACAUGAAAGCCGAGAUGAAGACUCUGCUAGAUUUUCAGAGAGGUGGUGCAUGGCGUCAGUGACU
This 261-nucleotide ribosomal RNA is filed under the name uncultured archaeon. Its description in RNAcentral is "partial 16S ribosomal RNA". It matches the Rfam family "Archaeal small subunit ribosomal RNA", at positions 748 to 1008 of the family's 1478-position model. The record is from RNAcentral.